GUUGCAGAAAGAUGCUCCACCAACAUGAUGGGGCAAUAACAUAUUCUGUGGCAUGUGAUGUCUGGCCAGACCACGCACGGAAUUGCUUCAUCAUAUGGCAAGCAGCUGGUAGUCCCAACAGUCACUGCACCACCAUUUUUAGUUUUUUGCUUUUAGCUGGCCAGCCACAGCCACGGUCAUGAUCGAAACAUGAGAACACUGCUUUCAAAAUCAGAUUUUGGUGGCCCUUUGGAUGCCCCAGGCGAUGGUUGGCCUUGCUUUUUCUUCAGCUGUUGGAUGAAAAUUCAGAUGCAGGUGAGAGAGAGAGAGAGAGAGAGAGAGAGAGAGAGAGAGAGAGGUAGGUUCGUUACGUACGUUCGUUUGUUAGUAGUACGUACCUAAACCGAAAACCGAAAACCAAAAAACGUAAAAGGUUAAACGUUACGNNNNNNNNNNNNNNNNNNNNNNNNNNNNNNNGAGAGAGAGAGAGGUGUUUCCAGCCUUGUUUGAUAGCUCCAAAACGCCAAAACAAAAGUAAGUUCAUGGAUGAGAUUCGAGUUGUGUCAAUGGAGAAGAAGAGAUGUUAGACGAUGAAGUGGAGUUCCGCACCUUUGUAUCACGGGCGUUUAAUUCUCGUUUGCCGGAGAGAUGAAGAAUCCAAGGAAACAAGCAACGAGUGCUGUCUCCUACAGAUAAGGAUGACGAACCUUGUCAUGUCAAAAGCAAAUCGUAAGAGUGAGUGGUCCCUCUCAGUGACCAAACUCCCAUAUCAUCAACACAGUAAAAGAAUAGGCGAACAUUGACUCUUCAGCUCUCUGUUGUUAUUGGCGAGAGAUUUUUUCUAUCCACCCCCCUCCUCAUGCGAGCACACUCUUCUUUUCCGGUGAACAGGGAACCAAAGUAAGGGCUAUCAGGUGCAGAUUUUUACAUGUGUUUUCCUGCUAAUAUUACCAAUUAAUUUUCAAGCUGGAAGCAGUUGAUAUCAUAAAGUUCAGACAGUACAUGAAAUUUUCCAUCAAAGGAU
RNAcentral lists this long non-coding RNA (1003 nucleotides) under Musa acuminata (dwarf banana). RNAcentral describes it as "long non-coding RNA (MACU_LNC006122)". Lineage: Eukaryota; Viridiplantae; Streptophyta; Magnoliopsida; Zingiberales; Musaceae. The record is from RNAcentral.